Molecule: ribosomal RNA, 360 nt
Filed under: uncultured bacterium
Lineage: Bacteria
Description: bacterial SSU rRNA
Rfam family: Bacterial small subunit ribosomal RNA
Source: RNAcentral
CGUGCCUAAUACAUGCAAGUCGAGCGAACAGACGAGGAGCUUGCUCCUCUGACGUUAGCGGCGGACGGGUGAGUAACACGUGGAUAACCUACCUAUAAGACUGGGAUAACUUCGGGAAACCGGAGCUAAUACCGGAUAAUAUAUUGAACCGCAUGGUUCAAUAGUGAAAGACGGUUUUGCUGUCACUUAUAGAUGGAUCCGCGCCGCAUUAGCUAGUUGGUAAGGUAACGGCUUACCAAGGCAACGAUGCGUAGCCGACCUGAGAGGGUGAUCGGCCACACUGGAACUGAGACACGGUCCAGACUCCUACGGGAGGCACCAGUAGGGAAUCUUCCGCACUGGGCGACAGCCUGACCGAUC